GUAAAUAUAGUUUAAUAAAAACACUAGAUUGUGAGUCUAACAACAGAAGAAUAGAGGCUUCUUAUUUACC
This 70-nucleotide transfer RNA is filed under the name Pattonomys semivillosus (Speckled spiny tree-rat). RNAcentral describes it as "tRNA-His". It matches the Rfam family "tRNA". From Rfam's summary of the family: Transfer RNA (tRNA) molecules are approximately 80 nucleotides in length. Their secondary structure includes four short double-helical elements and three loops (D, anti-codon, and T loops). Further hydrogen bonds mediate the characteristic L-shaped molecular structure. tRNAs have two regions of fundamental functional importance: the anti-codon, which is responsible for specific mRNA codon recognition, and the 3' end, to which the tRNAs corresponding amino acid is attached (by aminoacyl-tRNA synthetases). tRNAs cope with the degeneracy of the genetic code in two manners: having more than one tRNA (with a specific anti-codon) for a particular amino acid; and 'wobble' base-pairing, i.e. permitting non-standard base-pairing at the 3rd anti-codon position. The record is from RNAcentral. Lineage: Eukaryota; Metazoa; Chordata; Mammalia; Rodentia; Echimyidae.